Molecule: transfer RNA, 85 nt
Filed under: Candidatus Monoglobus merdigallinarum
Lineage: Bacteria; Bacillati; Bacillota; Clostridia; Monoglobales; Monoglobaceae
Description: tRNA-Leu
Rfam family: tRNA
About the family: Transfer RNA (tRNA) molecules are approximately 80 nucleotides in length. Their secondary structure includes four short double-helical elements and three loops (D, anti-codon, and T loops).
Source: RNAcentral
GCGGGUAUGGCGGAAUUGGCAGACGCGCCAGAUUUAGGUUCUGGUGCCCCGGGGCGUGAAGGUUCAAGUCCUUUUACCCGCACCA